CCUUCUCAUCGAACGCUGCCAAUAUGGUGUUAACGUGCUUCAUGGAAGUUGGCCGGGUGGCCUACGUCUCCUUUGGUCCUCAUGCCGGGAAGCUGGUCGCGAUUGUAGAUGUUAUUGACCAGAACAGGGCUUUGGUUGAUGGACCUUGCACUCAAGUAAGGAGACAGGCUAUGCCUUUCAAAUGCAUGCAGCUCACUGACUUCAUCCUCAAGUUCCCACAUAGUGCCCACCAGAAAUACAUCCGAAAAGCCUGGGAGAAGGCAGAUAUCAAUACCAAAUGGGCAGCCACAAGAUGGGCCAAGAAGAUUGAAGCCAGAGAAAAUAAAGCCAAGAUGAAAUAUUUUGAUCGUUACAAAGUUAUGAAGGCAAAGAAAAUGAGGAACCGAAUAAUCAAGCUUGAAGUUACGAAGCUUCAAAAGGCAGCGCUCCUGAAAGCAUCUCCCAAAAAAGCACCUGCUGCAACUGCAGCUGCAGCAUCUACUGCAAAGGUUCCAGCAAAAAAGAUGGCUGCUGCAGGCACCAAGGCUCCAGCCCAGAAGGUUCCCACCCAGAAAGCUGCAGGCCAGAAGGCAGCACCUCCAAAAGCUCAGAAGGGUCCGAAAGCUCCAGCCCAGAAAGCACCUGCUCCAAAGGCAUCUGGCAAGAAAGCAUAAGAACGUAAAAGGCUAUUACAAAAAUAAUAAAGGUUCUUUUUGACAAAUUA
Hipposideros armiger (great roundleaf bat) is the source of this 703-nucleotide RNA transcript. It is a transcript of the gene named 60S ribosomal protein L14 pseudogene, with no coding region annotated. Lineage: Eukaryota; Metazoa; Chordata; Mammalia; Chiroptera; Hipposideridae. The record is from RefSeq and is a predicted model, not a curated record. The transcript has a single exon.